GGAUGAGCGCUAGCUACAGGCUUAACACAUGCAAGUCGAGGGGCAGCAUGGUCUUAGCUUGCUAAGGCCGAUGGCGACCGGCGCACGGGUGAGUAACACGUAUCCAACCUGCCGUCUACUCUUGGACAGCCUUCUGAAAGGAAGAUUAAUACAAGAUGGCAUCAUGAGUCCGCAUGUUCACAUGAUUAAAGGUAUUCCGGUAGACGAUGGGGAUGCGUUCCAUUAGAUAGUAGGCGGGGUAACGGCCCACCUAGUCUUCGAUGGAUAGGGGUUCUGAGAGGAAGGUCCCCCACAUUGGAACUGAGACACGGUCCAAACUCCUACGGGAGGCAGCAGUGAGGAAUAUUGGUCAAUGGGCGAGAGCCUGAACCAGCCAAGUAGCGUGAAGGAUGACUGCCCUAUGGGUUGUAAACUUCUUUUAUAAAGGAAUAAAGUCGGGUAUGGAUACCCGUUUGCAUGUACUUUAUGAAUAAGGAUCGGCUAACUCCGUGCCAGCAGCCGCGGUAAUACGGAGGAUCCGAGCGUUAUCCGGAUUUAUUGGGUUUAAAGGGAGCGUAGAUGGAUGUUUAAGUCAGUUGUGAAAGUUUGCGGCUCAACGUAAAAAUUGCAGUUGAUACUGGAUAUCUUGAGUGCAGUUGAGGCAGGCGGAACUCGUGGUGUAGCGGUGAAAUGCUUAGAUAUCACGAAGAACUCCGAUUGCGAAGGCAGCCUGCUAAGCUGCAACUGACAUUGAGGCUCGAAAGUGUGGGUAUCAAACAGGAUUAGAUACCCUGGUAGUCCACACGGUAAACGAUGAAUACUCGCUGUUUGCGAUAUACUGCAAGCGGCCAAGCGAAAGCGUUAAGUAUUCCACCUGGGGAGUACGCCGGCAACGGUGAAACUCAAAGGAAUUGACGGGGGCCCGCACAAGCGGAGGAACAUGUGGUUUAAUUCGAUGAUACGCGAGGAACCUUACCCGGGCUUAAAUUGCAGAUGAAUUACGGUGAAAGCCGUAAGCCGCAAGGCAUCUGUGAAGGUGCUGCAUGGUUGUCGUCAGCUCGUGCCGUGAGGUGUCGGCUUAAGUGCCAUAACGAGCGCAACCCUUGUUGUCAGUUACUAACAGGUUCCGCUGAGGACUCUGACAAGACUGCCAUCGUAAGAUGUGAGGAAGGUGGGGAUGACGUCAAAUCAGCACGGCCCUUACGUCCGGGGCUACACACGUGUUACAAUGGGGGGUACAGAGGGCCGCUACCACGCGAGUGGAUGCCAAUCCCCAAAACCUCCCUCAGUUCGGACUGGAGUCUGCAACCCGACUCCACGAAGCUGGAUUCGCUAGUAAUCGCGCAUCAGCCACGGCGCGGUGAAUACGUUCCCGGGCCUUGUACACACCGCCCGUCAAGCCAUGGGAGCCGGGGGUACCUGAAGUGCGUAACCGCGAGGAGCGCCCUAGGGUAAAA
Molecule: ribosomal RNA, 1436 nt
Filed under: uncultured organism
Description: SSU rRNA
Rfam family: Bacterial small subunit ribosomal RNA
Source: RNAcentral